AGGGUUUGAUCAUGGCUCAGAACGUACGCUGGCGGCACGCCUAACACAUGCAAGUCGAACGAAGUAGUAAUACUUAGUGGCAGACGGGUGAGUAACAUGUGGGUAUCUGCCCUUUGGCCUGGAAUAACACGAGGAAACUUGUGCUAAUACUGGAUAAGUCUUAACGGAGAAAGCUUUAUGCACCAUUGGAUGAGCCCGCACUUGAUUAGUUUGUUGGUGGGGUAAUGGCCUACCAAGACUUUGAUCAAUAGCUGAUUUGAGAGGAUGAUCAGCCACAUUGGGACUGAGACACGGCCCAAACUCCUACGGGAGGCAGCAGUGGGGAAUCUUGCACAAUGGAGGAAACUCUGAUGCAGCGAUGCCGCGUGAGUGAAGAAGGCCCUUGGGUUGUAAAGCUCUUUCGUCGGGGAAGAAAAUGACUGUACCCGAAUAAGAAGGUCCGGCUAACUUCGUGCCAGCAGCCGCGGUAAUACGAAGGGACCUAGCGUAGUUCGGAAUUACUGGGCUUAAAGAGUUCGUAGGUGGUUGAAAAAGUUGGUGGUGAAAUCCCAGAGCUUAACUCUGGAACUGCCAUCAAAACUUUUCAGCUAGAGUUUGAUAGAGGAAAGCAGAAUUUCUAGUGUAGAGGUGAAAUUCGUAGAUAUUAGAAAGAAUACCAAUUGCGAAGGCAGCUUUCUGGAUCAUUACUGACGCUGAGGAACGAAAGCAUGGGUAGCGAAGAGGAUUAGAUACCCUCGUAGUCCAUGCCGUAAACGAUGUGUGUUAGACGUUGGAAAUUUAUUUUCAGUGUCGCAGCGAAAGCGAUAAACACACCGCCUGGGGAGUACGACCGCAAGGUUAAAACUCAAAUGAAUUGACGGGGACCCGCACAAGUAGUGGAGCAUGUGGUUUAAUUCGGAAGAUACGCGCAGAACCUUACCAACACUUGACAUGUUCGUCGCGACUUUAAGAGAUUAAAGUUUUCGGUUCGGCCGGACGAAACACAGGUGCUGCAUGGCUGUCGUCAGCUCGUGUCGUGAGAUGUUGGGUUAAGUCCCGCAACGAAGCGCAACCCUCACUUUUAGUUGCCAUCAUUAAGUUGGGCACUCUGAAAGAACUGCCAGUGAUAAGCUGGAGGAAGGUGGGGAUGACGUCAAGUCCUCAUGGCCCUUACGUGUUGGGCUACACACGUGCUACAAUGGUAUCUACAACAGGAAGCGAAACAGCGAUGUUAAGCAAAUCCUUAAAAGAUACCUCAGUUCGGAUUGCACUCUGCAACUCGAGUGCAUGAAGCUGGAAUUACUAGUAAUCGUGGAUCAGCGUGCCACGGUGAAUGCGUUCCCGGGUCUUGUACACACCGCCCGUCACACCAUGGGAGUUGGUUCUACCUUAAGGCAAGGUUUAAUACCCUUGACCACGGUAUAGUCAGCGACUGGGGUGAAGUCAUAACAAGGUAGCCGUA
Molecule: ribosomal RNA, 1441 nt
Filed under: uncultured bacterium
Lineage: Bacteria
Description: bacterial SSU rRNA
Rfam family: Bacterial small subunit ribosomal RNA
Source: RNAcentral